Molecule: ribosomal RNA, 461 nt
Filed under: Lactococcus lactis
Lineage: Bacteria; Bacillati; Bacillota; Bacilli; Lactobacillales; Streptococcaceae
Description: bacterial SSU rRNA
Rfam family: Bacterial small subunit ribosomal RNA
Source: RNAcentral
GACGAACGCUGGCGGCGUGCCUAAUACAUGCAAGUUGAGCGCUGAAGGUUGGUACUUGUACCAACUGGAUGAGCAGCGAACGGGUGAGUAACGCGUGGGGAAUCUGCCUUUGAGCGGGGGACAACAUUUGGAAACGAAUGCUAAUACCGCAUAAAAACUUUAAACACAAGUUUUAAGUUUGAAAGAUGCAAUUGCAUCACUCAAAGAUGAUCCCGCGUUGUAUUAGCUAGUUGGUGAGGUAAAGGCUCACCAAGGCGAUGAUACAUAGCCGACCUGAGAGGGUGAUCGGCCACAUUGGGACUGAGACACGGCCCAAACUCCUACGGGAGGCAGCAGUAGGGAAUCUUCGGCAAUGGACGAAAGUCUGACCGAGCAACGCCGCGUGAGUGAAGAAGGUUUUCGGAUCGUAAAACUCUGUUGGUAGAGAAGAACGUUGGUGAGAGUGGAAAGCUCAUCAAGUG